Mus caroli (Ryukyu mouse) is the source of this 910-nucleotide long non-coding RNA. RefSeq lists it as uncharacterized. The record is from RefSeq and is a predicted model, not a curated record. NCBI's taxonomy places the organism in Eukaryota, Metazoa, Chordata, Mammalia, Rodentia, Muridae.
AGACAAAGAUGACUCCCUAGGCAGUCAUAAGGAAUACUAGUGCCAGCCACACUGGAGGAAAUGAGCCCAUGUUGUCCCUCUCACUUGCCUCCUGGUGUGCCAUGUAGAAAGACACAGAGCUACCCUUGGUGGGAGAGGGUCCACUCCAUACAUCAGAGUGACAGGAAAGACACAGUUCUGAGACAAAGGGGAACGGACAUUCAUAGCAGUCUCGUGAGCCUUCCCUAGAAGGCCCCAUUGUCCUCCCGUAAUCUCCUUUGUACGGGGCCUCUCUCUACCAUUCCCAUACACGGAUCUAGCAGUAUCUAAGGAUAACGCUUGUCAACAACGGACUACAAAGAAAUGGGGAUUUCCCCAAGAAUCUCAUGCCGAGAGAAGGAAAAAGUGUCCAUCAGAAGAACGUGUCUCCUGGAAAGAGAUUUGUACACAGUUAUGACAACUUAUCAGCCCACAUCACAGGGCUGUGUGAAAUCUCAAGGACAGCACAGUGGCAAGCCUCCAGUCCACCAUGUUCACACCAAGGCAAGCCUCCAGUCCACCAUGUUCACACCAAGGCAAGCCUCCAGUCCACCAUGUUCACACCAAGGGCUCAGUUUCCCACCUGGACACCAGUGUGACUUUCAGACAGCAGUCACUCUGACUCUGGAGCCCAACUGAGACUGACCAGAAAUGGGGAUGUGACAAGUGACGCCAGCUAGACCUCCUCUAGCGACUGCACCACGCGCAUGGAAAGACACACUGUAGGGCGAGGGGGACAGAGUUACGCCCGGGCUCUCUGGAUGGCAGCUUUGGAAAGUUGACGAUUUAUCACCUACCCCAACUCCUUCUCAAGUGUGGUCUGGGACUCGUUGCUCAUCUGCGUGAUUUUGCCAAGUGGUGUUUGGACUUGGCGUUGGGAGUUCACACUGUA